Long non-coding RNA from Lolium rigidum, 247 nucleotides. RefSeq lists it as uncharacterized. The record is from RefSeq and is a predicted model, not a curated record. The transcript has 3 exons. Lineage: Eukaryota; Viridiplantae; Streptophyta; Magnoliopsida; Poales; Poaceae.
CGAUCGCGAAAAGAGUGAUAGCUGGCCUGAUUACGCCGUUAAUAGUUGGCCAGUUCAAGUUGUCAAGAAUGUGCCACAACAAAAAGACGGGAUUUCAUGUGGACUCUAUGCGCUCAAGAACAUGGCAAACUGGAUAGGACACGAGCUAUCACAAAAUUUUACACAGGCCGACAUUGACAAGUUCAGGAAAGAACUCCCAGCUCUCAUAGUAGAUUCUCCACUGAAUGAAGAACCACGAAAACAACGA